UACAGAGGUCCCAAGCGUUGUUCGGAUUCAUUGGGCGUAAAGGGUGCGUAGGCGGCGCGGUAAGUCGGGUGUGAAAUCUCGGAGCUUAACUCCGAAACUGCAUUCGAUACUGCCGUGCUUGAGGACUGGAGAGGAGACUGGAAUUUACGGUGUAGCGGUGAAAUGCGUAGAUAUCGUGAGGAAGACCAGUGGCGAAGGCGGGUCUCUGGACAGUUCCUGACGCUGAGGCACGAAGGCCAGGGGAGCAAACGGG
RNAcentral lists this ribosomal RNA (253 nucleotides) under uncultured bacterium. RNAcentral's name for it is "partial 16S ribosomal RNA". It matches the Rfam family "Bacterial small subunit ribosomal RNA", at positions 524 to 776 of the family's 1533-position model. The record is from RNAcentral.